AUGGAAAGGAAAAGAUUUAAUAUCCUUGGCCAUUGUCUUUUCGUCAAACUUACGUCCAAUAAGACGCUUGAUGUCAAAAAUGGUGUUUUCAGGAUUGGAAGGAGCUUGGUUCUUAGCGGCCUCACCAACCAAACGUUCGUCUUCAGUAAAGGCCACAUAUGAGGGUGUAAUACGAUUACCCUGAUCGUUGGCAAUAAUUUCUACACGACCAUUUUUCAUAACGGCAACGCAAGAGUAUGUUGUACCAAGAUCAAUACCAAUAACUGUUCCAUAUGAUUCUGUAGAGUUAUCAU
This is a non-coding RNA of Schizosaccharomyces pombe (fission yeast), 293 nucleotides long. The record is from the annotation of a GenBank genome assembly. NCBI's taxonomy places the organism in Eukaryota, Fungi, Ascomycota, Schizosaccharomycetes, Schizosaccharomycetales, Schizosaccharomycetaceae.